CUGGUACAUAUGGUGAUUUACAAGAAACUGGAAAAGUAAUCAUUUGUGUUCUUACAUUCAGACAGUUCAAGAAUAAUACUAGCCUUUAUCUCAUAAAAAUAAGUAUGGUGCUCUAGUGAUGGUGAAGUGUACAAGCAACACUUCUGCAGAUGUCUUGUUUUGGAAUGAUAGUUGCAGAUAUGGUGGCCCGCAGUUAACACACUUAUUUUACCCUUUCUUGCAGGUGGAUGAAGCCAUGAUGGAGAUCGCUGGUCCACAGGCCUACCUCAUGCAUUGUUUACCUGCAGAGAGAGGGGUGGAGGUGACAGACGGUGCCAUCGAGGCUCCCAACUCAAUCGUAUUCCCCCAGGCUGAAAACCGGAUGCACGCUCAGAAUGCCAUCAUGCUUCAUGUCAUGGGCGCUUAAUACCCCUUUUGCACACCACUAUUACACCUUUCUUAAAUUCUAGGG
RNAcentral lists this long non-coding RNA (451 nucleotides) under Setaria viridis. RNAcentral describes it as "long non-coding RNA (SVIR_LNC001078)". Lineage: Eukaryota; Viridiplantae; Streptophyta; Magnoliopsida; Poales; Poaceae. The record is from RNAcentral.